UCCAGACUCCUACGGGAGGCAGCAGUGGGGAAUAUUGCACAAUGGGCGCAAGCCUGAUGCAGCCAUGCCGCGUGUAUGAAGAAGGCCUUCGGGUUGUAAAGUACUUUCAGCGGGGAGGAAGGGAGUAAAGUUAAUACCUUUGCUCAUUGACGUUACCCGCAGAAGAAGCACCGGCUAACUCCGUGCCAGCAGCCGCGGUAAUACGGAGGGUGCAAGCGUUAAUCGGAAUUACUGGGCGUAAAGCGCACGCAGGCGGUUUGUUAAGUCAGAUGUGAAAUCCCCGGGCUCAACCUGGGAACUGCAUCUGAUACUGGCAAGCUUGAGUCUCGUAGAGGGGGGUAGAAUUCCAGGUGUAGCGGUGAAAUGCGUAGAGAUCUGGAGGAAUACCGGUGGCGAAGGCGGCCCCCUGGACGAAGACUGACGCUCAGGUGCGAAAGCGUGGGGAGCAAACAGGAUU
RNAcentral lists this ribosomal RNA (457 nucleotides) under Shigella flexneri. RNAcentral's name for it is "bacterial SSU rRNA". It matches the Rfam family "Bacterial small subunit ribosomal RNA", at positions 330 to 779 of the family's 1533-position model. The record is from RNAcentral. Lineage: Bacteria; Pseudomonadati; Pseudomonadota; Gammaproteobacteria; Enterobacterales; Enterobacteriaceae.